CAGAGGGAGGAGGGGCCUGAACCAUAGCAACUGCCCAUCUCCAUAGGAGAAAUACUCAUACUAUGGCCAAGUUCAAACUGCUACCAAGAUAAUGACCAGCUCACAAAAGGAAAAGCUUGGUAAAUGGUUCUCAUGAGCUAGCAUGAGCCACUUUGGAAUGUGAUCUUCAGCAUGUGAUGGGGUGAGGGCCACCUCCUGGGACAGAAUAAGGCAGGGCCACAGGGCUUCCAGGGACCUCUGCAGUGAGGAGGGCCCGGCAGAGACACCGGCAGGCCUCCAGAACCCAGGACGACCCAGAGGGUCAGCUUCUGGAGAAGCCCUCCCAUGAGAGCCUGGGUUCUCACGAUCUCAAGCCUACCUCAGAUGCUUUCCAGCUUCGUGGACUCGGGGUGGAGGCUGGGCCAGACACCUGCUCUCCACUCUCCCCGCCAUCCACGCCCCCAACCCAGUCCCCUGCCAUGCUUGCCCACUCUGAACCGGGCCCCCGCACUGGCGGGGGAGUGAGCGCGGUGGCUCUCCUCUAUGCUUCCGACGGCCGUGCGCAUGCACCUCCACUUCUCCACCCUCCCUACGCCUGGCGUUGGCGUCGUGAGAGCUUGGCACAGCUGAGGGGUAUGGAACGGGACCACCUCAUCUCCCCAUUGAGACCCAGCAGGAUGGCGGCGACCCCUGCGCAGCACCCCUGACACCCAGGCCGUGCUGGUUGUCCCUCCUCAGCGCCCGGCUCCAGACCUCUUACUUCCUGGCUGUGGCUGAUCCACCACCAGGCCAAGAGGCGCACAAGCUCCACAUCUGAGCCCUGGGUUCAACCAUGGACACA
Long non-coding RNA from Zalophus californianus (California sea lion), 820 nucleotides. RefSeq lists it as uncharacterized. NCBI's taxonomy places the organism in Eukaryota, Metazoa, Chordata, Mammalia, Carnivora, Otariidae. The record is from RefSeq and is a predicted model, not a curated record. The transcript is spliced from 3 exons.